ACAUGGCACGUUGGCGGCCGCAGCUGUGGCUCUACCCCUCUGUGACCUUGACGCAGAGAUAAGUAAUGUUUAUUAAAAGAAAACGUGAACUACUGUGAGGAGACAGGGACAGUGGGAGGGUCACCGGAACUCUAGGUCUCAGACACGCAGGUGGUAUCUAAUCCACCGCAUUGGCCAGGGUGUGGCCGGCCGCGACUCCUUCCCCGGAAAUGGAGCUGCAGACGAGGCUCCAAGGGUCUCGGGAAGGCAAAGGCACAAGGGCUCGCCUCCCCCAGGCGUCAGGACCCGUUUUAGUCUCCGGGCAGAUGGGCGCAACAUCCAACCUGGGAGGGGGCCCCAGGCCCGCCGCGCUCCCGCCCGCGUCCUCGUCGGACUUCAGGAUGGGGGGUCUCCGCACACAAAGCGGACCCCGGGCGCGGGAGAAUGGAACCAGAACGAUGCCGGCGAUCAGAGCAAAAGCGGAUCGACAUUACACCGAGUUCAGGUCGUGGCAGAGGAAACCAGGAGAGACAGGGCGCCACUCACUAGCUGAAGAAUGUGCCAGAAGAAAGUCCCAGCAAGUGAGCUGAAACGGGUCAGCAAAUAAUGACAGUGUCGCAAGCACAGAAAAAGAGAAACACUCAGAGGCGUGCUCGCAGGUUUGUGUGUCUGGGUGGGGGCUGGGGAAGAAGCUGAGGCCACACCAUUCCUAUUUAAUAGGGGAGGAAACAGGCUCAAGGCACAGAACCAUCCCUGGUUCUCACAGCUAAGAGAUGGCAGGGCUGGAAUUUAAAGCCAGGUCCUUUUGGGCCCAAGCCCACUGCUUUUCUCUUUCCACCAACUAAUGGCUAUCACAUCCUUACACCCGGUGGUGGCCUUGCAAUCCGCACCUGUCCUCCGAGUCUAAUCAAACCUUGCCCUCCCCAAAGGCCGGGCUCCGCACCUGGGCAGCAGGGAGGGAGGGAGGUGGUGGGCGGGCCUGAGGGACAGGUGGGAGUCUGAUGGAGGAGGACUGAGUUUGACUCCCAGGUUCGGUCUUGGACAAGUGGGUGGAAGGAGGUGUGGAGCAGCGGGAGGAGGGAUGCGGGGGGAGCAGUUCGAGGGCACGUGUUUCAUGCCCAGCUCCCAAGGAUGGGUGACUCGGGAUUCUAACUUGUCAGCUGCCCCUUCUCCCACCAAAUCAUUCUCUGAGCCUUCUCCCGGGUCAUCUUUGGAAGAGGGAAGAGGGCAGAAAGCAGGGGCGAUUGCUGGCCUUACACGCAGGACACCAAGGAUCACAGGUAUGGCGGUGGGUGACCUGAUCUGAAUGGGCCAGCGGCUGCCGUGUCCACACAAUGACUCAGGAAGCUGGCUCGGAAGCACAUGAAGACUCCCGGCCUGGGGACAUGAGGGUGGGCAGCCUGCAUUUGUGUACUGCCUGCUGGUAAGUCAGCUCUUUCAUAUACAUCUGUCUUUAGAUCCUCCAACCACCCUGGGAGACACCCUCCCAUUUUAUAAGUGAAGGACACUGAUGCUUAGAAAGGAGCAAAGAUUCAGCAGAGGGAAGGGAAGGCGAAAAAGGAAAAGAAAAUGGGUUUUUAUGGAGGACCUGCUACAUGCCAGGAAUCAGCAAGUGCGGUCUCACAUAUGUUAACAGACCUAUUCUUUCAAAAUCUCUACAGGCAGCAUCAACACCUGCAUUUGCAGAGGAGAAAACAGGCUCCAUUAAAUAAGCUGGAAGCCCAGGGAGUGAGGGAGAAAUUCAGAUGGGACACCCAGUGCCUGGCCCUCGAGCCCAGAGCUCAUUCAUUCACCCCAUGCGCUGGGCCAACAACCACUUCUCCAGCAUCUUCCAUUAGGCCAAACAUUUAGGAAAAAAGGAUGAACAAAAUAGUCAAGCCCCCUGCCACGUGCCGCGUGUGGUGGGAGGAGGGCAAGAUGCCGUGGGAAGACAUGACGGGGUCCCACAGAGCUUCUCUGGAGAAGGGACCUUUGAGCUGAGGGCGGAUGGAUGACGGCCAGGAUGAGUGAGGAGUGUUCCAGGCAGAUGAAACAGCGUGUGCCAAGGGUCUGAGCCCAUAAAGAGUUUCUGACGUUCCUGGUGGCUGGAGAGGAAGCCUGGGACCAGAUUGUGCAGCUAUGUCUAAGAGCUUUGAAGUUCAAGUCACCAAAGAGGUCUAAAUAGGUGGGAGGAACAAUCAGAGUGGUGACUGCCGAGUGGAGAAGGGCCUGGAGGGAAAGCAGAGACCAGGUGGGAGGUGCUCCUAGCCAUGCAGGAGGAGGAAGAGGUGAGGGCCAGGCUGAGAGCGGCUGCAGGGCUCCUGGGAGAGGGGUACGGACUUGCAGGCCAUUGAGGUGGUAGAUCAAUAGGGCUUGUGAUUAACUCGGGGUGGAGGGGAAGUGGCGGGAGGGGAAGUGGUGGGAGCUGUCAGGUCCCCCACCCUCUACCCCCUGGCCAGUGAGGGCGGGGCUGCGGUUGAGGACCAUGCGGAGUCUUAUCCCACGGAGCAGUGGGUCCUAACCUCAGCCAGAGUCAACAGAGGCUUCCUUGGAUUUUUUUCGGAAUGCCACAUUUGUGCGUCAUGCCAGGCUCACCUACUUAGCAAGACUCGCCUCCCACAACCAGGCCCGCGGGAUCCCAGCACCUCGUCCUGUCUGCUCAUGAGGCCUGCCCGGAACUCUCUUCUCCUGCCCGAGGGCCCGUGAAGAGAAACCUUUCAGUAAACUCACAGCCAGACCCCCAAGUGAAUUCUGGAGUCCUCCCCAGCGUCUGUGGCCGCCUCAUCGGCCUCCAGGGCCCCAGCGGCAGGGCACGACUGCCCAGCCGAAGACAGGAUUGCUGCUGCCCGGUACCGGGCUGGGGACAGAGAUGCCACAUGGGCCAGUUUAUUCCUGUUACUGCUCUGUACAGGUAUAUACAGUUGGUGUGAGCCUAUGGUACAUUAUUUCACAAAGUUAUCUUACAUCCUGUGCACACUCCUCCUGGGCGAGAAGUACCUGCGGGCGGUGGAGGAAAGGACGCUCACGGGAGCCACUCUGUUGCUGAGGACGUGCACGGGGGCGCCCUCCCACCUGCUCCCGGGUGCCGGAGGCUUCCGCAGUCUUUCUCCUGGAGCGGAUAGAGGCUGGCGGGGGCCAAGCAGCACCCACAGCCCCCACCACCCCAGCCUGCCUGACCCCACCGAGUACCAUCAGCAGCAGGACAGUAUCCCCCGGCCCCUCGCCCCCCGCCCAUCACGGGGCGCUGGCGUGCAUCUUCUCCAGGCAGCUCGUCCAGAAGGUCACCAGCCGGUUGUCACGGUUGACGCAGAAGUCCGUGAAGUCCUUCAGCAGCCGGUCAGCAAACCUCUCGUCGCCGGUGGCGCUGGAGCGCCAGGUCUUGGUCAGCAUGGUGUUGUAGGCCCAGCUGUAGCCCACCCUCUCCUCGCAGAACAGGCUCUGGCUGGCGGAGCUGGUGGAGUUGCGGCGCCGCCGUGGCUGCCCUGAGAACUUGCGCUUGGAGUAGGGCAGCUGCAGGAACACCGUGCCUGUGGGGACAGGGGCCAGGUCACAGCUCCGGGAAGGAGGGAGGGAGGGUGCCCGGGCCAGUCCCCCGCCCCCACUCUGGGGCUCCCGGUCCUACCUCGGCCGCCCCAGACCCCGCCCCGUCCACACUGCGCCUGGAGCGCCUCACCUGUGACGUGGAUGUACUGAGGCUUGGUCUCAGCAGGGAAGUUGAAAGCAGAGGCAGAAUAUUUAUCUUGAACAAACCCAAACCUAAGGGAAGGACAGGGAGACAGGCCGAUGAGGGCCCCCUGGGCUACAGGGACAUGGCGGGGGGGGGGGCGGGGGGGCGUGCUGGGGGGAGCGAGAGUGUGGCUAACACGACUCUCCGAUGGCCAUGGGAUCUGGAAAGUCUCUUUCAGGUGGAACAUUCAGGCUGCUCCUCACUGUCCUCACUACUUCCCACCAUCCCGGCCCCCUUUCCUCUCUGGUGCUGAGAGCCUCUCACCUGCCCAGCUCUCCCUCCUCCAGCCUUCAUCUCCACCCAGCCACCCCCCACUCCAUCGCAUCAGCCCUCCCCCCUGCGCCCACCCCCAAGACUGUCAGCUCCCCCGGGGAAGGCCCUUAUCUUAACUCUGCUGAGCCGGGCCCCUCUCCCCUUCCUCUCAGUUCUCCCACACUAAGCACAUAGUAGUUCUCAAUAAAGGUUUUGCAUUGAGAAAUAUCAUAACUGGAGUCCUUUCCUUAAGGCGAGGAAAGCUAGGGCCCUGCCUCGCUGUGUUCUGGAAACAGGCAUCCAUGGCUUGUUCUAUUCCUGGUUUUUUAAUUUCCACAAAGUGCAUGUAUUACACUUUACCUGCUAAGUGCUGUAAAGGAUGCAUUGGCAGAUAUGGCCCCUGCCCUGAGUCUGAGGGGUUUAUGUAAUGAAGCCUGUGAUGAGGCAGAACUAUAGCUGGGAAAACCCUGUCUCCCUUCCUGGACUGAGCUCCAGGGAGGUGCUGUGUUGCAUCCUCUACAGAAGCUGCUGGCUUUACACGGGCACUUGAUAAUUAUUUACUGAAGAACAUGUGAAGUCAGACGCAUAAACAGAUCGGCUGAUGGGCACUGCCAGCUCAUCACUGUCAGCUGGUUCUAGCACAUGCAGGAACGGCUCUGGAGUCUGCCCUUCUUCCUCUCUACUUUCCGAUCAAGGCUCUCUAUUUACUCAGCGUGGAUCAGCAGGACCUGCUGACAAACUCGUCUUCCUCAUAAUAACUACCAUCUCCUGGGGCCCUACUAGGUGCUGGGAACGUCAGGGAACCCUCCCAACAAACCCGGUGAAGGGGGAGAACUCGAAGGCAAAGCACCUCACGGUUCCUCAGCCAGAUGCCGGUGGAGGCCGAGGUGAACCAGGCCUGUCCGCUUCCCACAUCAAAGUCCUUUCCCACCUACCUCUUCAUUGACCGCCCCAAAUCGCACCCCCUCCUACUGGACGGAGGAAGUCAGGUGCCCUGGCAUUCAUUUCACAGCCUUUACCAAGCAUUGAAGAAAAGGGCUGAGUAAGGUCUAAGGCAGGCCUGGGCCGGCUUGGGUGGGGGAGGCUGAAGAGUCCGGACUUUA
Molecule: long non-coding RNA, 5040 nt
Organism: Orcinus orca (killer whale)
Lineage: Eukaryota; Metazoa; Chordata; Mammalia; Artiodactyla; Delphinidae
Exons: 3
Source: RefSeq, a predicted model, not a curated record